Molecule: long non-coding RNA, 2533 nt
Filed under: Medicago truncatula (barrel medic)
Lineage: Eukaryota; Viridiplantae; Streptophyta; Magnoliopsida; Fabales; Fabaceae
Description: long non-coding RNA (MTRU_LNC002704)
Source: RNAcentral
GAUAUUCACUUUCUAUAUUUUCAAUGAAGUUGAUGCCUUGGUCUUUGCUGGUGUAAGGUUCCCCCCAGAACUUGGCCACUUUUUCAUCAGUCUGCCACACCAUUACAUCAUCAAGGUCAGAAAGAUUAAAGGAUCGGAGUGUGAUUUGGUUCAAAUCGAUGAUCUCUUCUUCUUUGGCACAUGGUUUGGAGGAAAUAAAAGUUUCUUCCAUAACUUGUGUUUCUUUUAUGAGUUUAUUUGGAUGCAUUCAACAAGUGUUUAUUUUUAGGCUAUUUAUAAAUAAAGUCAUGGAGAUGAAAAAAAGGAAGUUGCACGGAAGAAAGGUCGAAGUUGGGAUCAAGCAAGAAAGUGAAGUAAUGGAUUUCAAGGCUGCUUCAUGUCUCUGCCUACCUUGGUUGACUUGAAUAUGCAUUAAAUGGGAUCCAAACCUAUGAAGCUCACAUCCAUGAAAAUGAAAGUAUUGUAGUUCUUUAUAUAUGCUAGCAAAAACUAUAUAUAUAAUUGUUUUUAUUCUUGUAAAGAAAAAUAAAUUGAUCAUCAUUCCUGUGUAUCUUGUACGGUUCUAUUUAUAUAUAUAUUAAAGUGUUAUUGAAAAACAAUUACAAUAAUUUUUUUUUUUUGUCUUCUUUCCGAAUGUGCAACAAGUGGGGUUUUGGCACUCCUUGUGCUGAAAUCUCCAAAUUUUCAGUAAUAUAAUCCAUUUUAACUUUUUCAAAAAAAAAUGAAUUUGAUAAUUCUAAGUUGUGCUUUGGCUCUAAUGAUAGUUAAGAAGUUUGUUUUUUUAAUACCGAUACUAUAUGCACUAUAUGCUGUUAGAAAGAAAAAAAAAACCAUAUGGACUAUAGUUUAAAAAUAUUAUCCAAUGGAUUUCAUGAGAUAUUGAAAAAUUAUAGAUAUGCAACAAGUGAUUUUAGUUGUUUUGUGAUUCAAGAGAUGGCUUGUGGGAUGGGUUUCUAAAGAGCAGAAACAGGAUGGAUAGGCAUCACUGCAUCAAUUACGGUGGUCUCUAAUCUAUAGCUAAGCUACUAGUGUCUAAUAAUUUGAUAAUUUCAACACCAUUUUUAUGUAUAUCAUUUACAUCUUCACUAAUCUACCACAAUUUUAUAUACCUUUGAUCUUCCUAGGAUGCACCUUAUAGACCUAAGCAUAAGCAGCACCUUAUAGAGAUUACUCAUAAUAUAAUAUCUAAGAGUGUGUUUGGAUGGGGAAAUGUUUUGAGGGAAUGUAUUGUUUUGAGGGAAUUCAAAUACUUUGGGGUGAAUUCCAUUGUUUGGAUAAUAAUUUGAAGCAUUUUCAAAAUAUGGAAAUUUAUGAAGUAUUUUGUUCAAGUUAAAUUUAGAGGAUUUCAAAUGACACCUAAAAGCUAAGAAUUUCAAAUUUCUUCAUUGUUGUUAUUUUUCAUAUUUUGCAUUUUGGUCCUCAAAUUUUCCAAAAAUUUCAAAUUGACCCCAAUAAAUUUCCAAAAAUUGCAAAUUGGUCCCUCAAUUUUUUCAAAAAUUAUAAUUUGACCCCUCAAAUUUUUAAAAUUUACAUUUUGACCCCUAAUUUCAAUUUUCAAAUUUGACCCAAAAAAAUUAAAAUUUAUAAAAGUUGUCCAAAAAUGAUGACAAUGAAUUUUUUUAUUACUUCAUCCAAACAAAAGAAUUGAGAAAUGAAAGUAAUUUAAUUAAAUCAUUUAAAUUGUCUAGAAUUCUAAAUUCUUUAAAAUUUCUCAAUUACCUCAUUCAAACACACUCUAAAACUGUUUUAACUUCGCUUGCCUAUUACUUUCCUUUCUUAACAAGGCAAACCUCAAAUAUCACAAAAAAAGAAAAAUGUAAUACAUCAGAAUUGAUUCUAAAGAUAGAUUUCAAUAUUAAAAGAAAAUUAUGAUUGAAAAAUGAAACGUAUUAAAGUUGGAAACUCAAGGAGGCCAAGAUGCCUAAGGGUGAAUAUUUUCCUAUGAUUUCCAAACAAAUGAAUCAUAGUUGGAGAUCAUUAGAAAGAACACUAAACAUGAUCAUAUCUCUGCUUUUUCCUUUCAUGACCAAAUACUUCCUAAGAGUUCCCUCCUUUUGGAAACCAGCUUUCUCCAAAACCCUUUGAGACCCAACAUUUUCCACAUCAACAAGAGCUUCAAGCCUUUCCAAGUACGAAAAUUCAUCGAAUGCAAUCUUAACAAUUUGUUUCACAGCACAUGUGACAAUCCCUUUACCCCAAUAUUUAGAGCUUAGAUUAUAGCCAAGUUCUGCAGAUUGUUUCCUGCUUUUAUCUUCAGGUGUGAACAAAAGAACACAGCCAAUAGCACGAUCAUUAAUGCAUAUUGCUUUGCAACAAAGAAACUUGCUUUCUAUACUUUCUAUGAAGUUGAUGCCAUCUUCUCUGCUGGUGUAAGGUUCCCAAGAGCAGAACUUGGCCACCUUUUCAUCAGUAUGCCACACCAUUACAUCAUCAAGGUCAGAAAGAUUAAAGGAUCGGAGUGUGAUUUGGUUCAAAUCAAUGAUUUCUUCUUUGCCACAUGGUUUUGAAGAAAUAAAAGUUUCCUCCAUCACAG